GGAAGGAUGGGUGAGUGGCUUAAACCACCAGUUUGCUAAACUGACGUACGGGCAACCGUACCGGGGGUUCGAAUCCCCCUCCUUCCG
This 87-nucleotide transfer RNA is filed under the name Bacteroidales bacterium. Its description in RNAcentral is "tRNA-Ser". It matches the Rfam family "tRNA". Rfam says of the family: Transfer RNA (tRNA) molecules are approximately 80 nucleotides in length. Their secondary structure includes four short double-helical elements and three loops (D, anti-codon, and T loops). The record is from RNAcentral. Lineage: Bacteria; Pseudomonadati; Bacteroidota; Bacteroidia; Bacteroidales.